Molecule: transfer RNA, 76 nt
Filed under: Mycobacteroides abscessus subsp. massiliense
Lineage: Bacteria; Bacillati; Actinomycetota; Actinomycetes; Mycobacteriales; Mycobacteriaceae
Description: tRNA-Leu(tag)
Rfam family: tRNA
About the family: Transfer RNA (tRNA) molecules are approximately 80 nucleotides in length. Their secondary structure includes four short double-helical elements and three loops (D, anti-codon, and T loops).
Source: RNAcentral
GCUCCAAUAGCCCAACAUGGCAGAGGCGACAGGCUUAGACCCUGUGCGGUGGGGGUUCGAAUCCCUCUUGGAGUAC